This 77-nucleotide transfer RNA is filed under the name bacterium Ellin6529. RNAcentral describes it as "tRNA-Pro". It matches the Rfam family "tRNA". Rfam says of the family: Transfer RNA (tRNA) molecules are approximately 80 nucleotides in length. RNAcentral also lists the same sequence under 2 other names. The record is from RNAcentral.
CGGAGCGUAGCGCAGCUUGGUAGCGCGCUUGCCUGGGGGGCAAGAGGUCGCAGGUUCAAAUCCUGUCGCUCCGACCA